AAGCGCUUGCAACCAGACUUGCAUGCGGUUGAUCAUCCGGUGUUCUCACCGGUGCACUUGACCGUGUACAGGCCAGCAUCGGUUUUGACGGCCGGUUAAAGGCCUUGGGAAUGUAUCUUCCUCCGGGAAGACUUAUAGCCCAGGGCGCCAUGCGGCCCGCCGGGACCGAGGAACGCGCUUCGUGCUCGGAUGUUGGCGUAAUGGUUGUCAGCG
Molecule: ribosomal RNA, 213 nt
Filed under: Hypocreales sp.
Lineage: Eukaryota; Fungi; Ascomycota; Sordariomycetes; Hypocreales
Description: partial large subunit ribosomal RNA
Source: RNAcentral